Molecule: ribosomal RNA, 673 nt
Filed under: uncultured organism
Description: bacterial SSU rRNA
Rfam family: Bacterial small subunit ribosomal RNA
Source: RNAcentral
AACAGGAUUAGAUACCCUGGUUAGUCCCAGCCGUAGACGAUGGACACUAGUUGCCGGAGGAGUCAAUCCCUUCGGUGACGAAGCUAACGCAUUAAGUGUCCCGCCUGGGGAGUACGCUCGCAAGGGUGAAACUCAAAGGAAUUGACGGGGGCCCGCACAAGCGGUGGAGCAUGUGCUUUAAUUCGAUGCAACGCGAAGAACCUUACCUGGGUUUGACAUGGGGGUGAAAGUUUCCAGAGAUGGAAGCCUUUCCUUCGGGUACACCCCACACAGGUGCUGCAUGGUUGUCGUCAGCUCGUGUCGUGAGAUGUUGGGUUAAGUCCCGCAACGAGCGCAACCCCUGCCCUUAGUUGCCAUCAGGUAAAGCUGGGAACUCUAAGGGGACAGCUUGGUAUAACCAGGAGGAAGGUGGGGAUGACGUCAAAUCAUCAUGGCUCUUACGCCCAGGGCUAGACACGUGCUACAAUGGCAGGUACAGUGGGAUGCCAGCCUGCGAAGGUGAGCUAAUCCCUUAAAACCUGUCUCAGUCCGGAUUGGAGUCUGCAACUCGACUCCAUGAAGUUGGAAUCGCUAGUAUCGCGAUCAGCAUGCCGCGGUGAUACGUUCCCGGGCAUGUACACACCGCCCGUCAAGCCAUGAAAGGCGGUAGUACCCGAAGUCGCGUACCCAACCG